Sceloporus undulatus (fence lizard) is the source of this 2857-nucleotide long non-coding RNA. RefSeq lists it as uncharacterized. The record is from RefSeq and is a predicted model, not a curated record. The transcript has 3 exons. Lineage: Eukaryota; Metazoa; Chordata; Lepidosauria; Squamata; Phrynosomatidae.
UGUCCCCCAACCUUUUUUUAUUUAUAGGGUUUGGCUCUUUCCCUUUGCUGCAGGGAAUUCCCCUGGUUGCCAAUUAGCAGCUGUUCCAUUUGUGCAAGGAAAAAUGUAGGAAUGUUCAAGGAUGCAUGGGACAGGGGUUUGUAAGGAGAGAAGUGGUGGCAAUCAGGGUUCUUUACAAUAAUUUAAAGGCGGGGAUAAAGAAAUAAAGCUGAUCACCUUCAUUCACUUGUAGCUGUUUUAGAAUUCUCCCCUCUCCCUGCCACUGGAACAUGAACAAACUAGCUGAAGGCCUGCUUCUCAGCAUGCUUUUUAAACAGCAUUUGCUGACGAUUUCUAAGCAAGGACACUUCUUUGCUAUCCCAUCUCAGUAUCAUUCUCUCUUUCUCUGUAUGCUGAUUUUGUAGCUUGGCUCAGUCUCGCUCAACUGGAUUCUACUGCUUUGAUGCAUUCCAAGGAGGAAAUUUUUUUCAGCAGUCUUCCACUGAGUCCAAUUCCCUGCAAUGGGGGUAUAAUUUGGAAAUUUGCCUAUAUAGCAAUAGUUGUAAUAUAACGGUGUGGUGGGGUGCUAGAAUGAUCAUAAUUGCCAUAUCACUCCCCCCCUUUUUUUUUUAACAAAAAAAAGAUAUUUGAAACCAUCGAUGCAGUCUAUCCAAACUAGUCACAACAGUUGCUUGGCAUUAACUGGCUACUAGAAUGAGUGGAAGACUGGGCCCACUUUGGAAAUAGUUAAUAAUGAGAAUCACAAUCAUAAUGAUAAAUUAGCCUGAGAAUAACUCUUUGGAUUUGUGCUAGAAAUGAAGGUUGCCUUUGCUGUUGCAUGUUAAAAUGUAGCGCAGAGGGGGUGAGGGUGGGGUUUCAAGACCCAUCAAUACAAUUAAGUAUUCCAAAGUGCUUAGUUUGCCACUUGCUAAGUUUACUUAAACCCUCUUUAAAGGGUUCAUUAGAAGACUGUGAGAAAUGGUAAAAUUCAUUAACAUUAAGGCAGCCGUUCUGCAUUUGCCUGUAAAUUGGUAUUGAUCUGCAUGGCUCAGGACUGGUGGCAGGGAGGGAAGGAGUGAGGAGGGGGGAUAGAGGAAGAGAGAGAGAGAGAGGAGGUAGCCGUCAGAUGGAGCAGGUGAGUGCUCCAUUACAGCAAUGCUGAACGAGCAUUAUGCACCCAGUGUGACCUCCUGGUUUGCUCGAUGUCUAAAUCCUUCUCAUAAUAGUCUCCUAUUCACUACACUCAUCAUUCUCAGUGGUGCUACUCGGACCUCAUUGUUAGCGGGGCUUUAAAGCUCAGAGAGGCUGUGAGGUAACCAGUGAGAAGAGAAAAAAAAGAGAGACAGAGAAGAGGAGAGAGAGAUUUAGCCUGACGCAAACAGAAGGGAGACACAAGGUUUCCCACAUGGACACUCGCACACACCGAAGAGUAACUCCCUUGACUUUCUACUCUGGCCUACUCACAACAUCAUCCAUCCAUCCUGAGCUGCUUCCAUGCCUUGUGAUCCUGCCUGUUCUCACGUUCAUCUCUGGCACCCUCUAAUAUCAGGAACUCCAAUCAGAAGAUAUUUUAGAAAAGUCAAUUUCUCUCAACCAUUCCCUCUGCACACACACACACACACACCCGGCAAAAAAGAAAGACAGAGAGAGAGAGGCCAAAGAGAAAGCCAAGCCUUUUUCUUUGGGGGGUUUCUACCCUUCAGACUGCACAUCCUUUAUCGUGACCUACAAAACAAGGAAGAAAAAACUAACAAUGGACACCUGAGCAGAGCCUUUUACUUCAUCAAUUCAGCUUGAUGAUGGUGGGUGAACAAACAAGAGAGAUUUAUUGAAAAGAAGAAAAACUACUGAUGACAGAAGUUUGUUACUUCAAAAAACAGCAACAACUGUGGACAAAGGGAACAUUUCUCCACAUCUACACAAUGCAAGACCAAAUUAAGUUCACUGUCAAUAGGUUCUGGAGAAAAACUACUUCUUUACACAGCUGUGUAACGGGGUACAUUGCAACAAGAUGUGGUAAGAAGUCAGGGGUAGGAAGAAGGUGCAUUAGAAUCUACUCAGAGCUCUCAAUGAGCACCAAUUUAUCAUUCUGCAUUGUUUUAUAAUAACCAUAAGGACACACACACAAGGCUGUGAAAUGAAGAAGACUUGUGAAUAGGUGGAUAACUAGGAGUGAUUUUUUAUAUGGAACAGCAGUCACCAGGCUUUGGUUCUGGUACUCAAGGUGAAUUUGUGGUCUCAAAAUUCUUCAGUCUUUUUCAGUAGCCUCCACUUGGUGGAUCUCAAAGUUCAAGCAAAGAAAAACAAAACCAAGGUGUAUCGCACAAGUAUGAAAUCUGUCCACUCCUAGCUUAUUAGGUGGCUUUAAAAAAAGAAUUGGAUAAAUUCACAGAUGACUAUGAUGUGUCAUGGUAGUUAGAUUAUGCCUCCAUGUUCAGUUGCAGUCCUAGAUGUUGUGGAUAGACAAUAAACGGGAAGCUGGUUUAUGAAUUUCCAGAAUAAUCUGGGUGGGUUCUGUUGAACAUACAGCACUGGACUAGACAGAUCUGUGCUCUGACCAUGAGGGAUCUUCUCAUGUUCAUCUAUGAUCUAAUUACCAUAGAUAGAAAACACAGUUUCUAACUAUCAUAGACUAGUUUAUGAUCAUUAUAGCUUAUUCAGUCAGUAGAACAGUCCAUUGAAACUGAGCAUUGGUAACUCUCCUGAAGGAAACAUUCUUCCAAAACCAGCCUCUCCUUUUCUCCUCUUUCUGUUCUUCAAAUGGACCUUGUGCUCACAAGGAGUUGACAUAAAGUAUAAAGCCCUGUUUAGCUGUAAUAAGCAUUGAUGUUAUGUAAAUGGCUUAAAGAAAAUCACUCACUUUCUCAUGUUGUAAUGA